UGGCUCUUUUAGUCUAAAGGGACGUCGAGUUGUGGAUUCGAAGGAUUUAGGGGGCAA
Molecule: transfer RNA, 57 nt
Filed under: Trichinella zimbabwensis
Lineage: Eukaryota; Metazoa; Nematoda; Enoplea; Trichinellida; Trichinellidae
Description: tRNA-His
Source: RNAcentral